CUCAAUGAAUUUUAUAUAGCCGCAAUAUUGUGCUAAGGUAGCAUAAUCAUUUGUUUUUUAAUUGAAAACUAGAACGAAAGAUUUAACAUUUUAAUUUCUUUCUUACAUAUAAUAAUUAAAAUUAUUUUAAAUAUAAAAAAAUAUUUAUUUAUCAAAAAGACGAUAAGACCCUAUUGAACUUCACUAAAGUUUAACUGGGGUAGUUAAUCAAAUAUUAUUUUAAUUUAAUUUUUAAAAAUAACUAAUAAAAUUAAAAUAAUCAAGUUACCAUAGGGAUAACAGCGUAAUAAAUUUCACAAGAUCUUAUUCAAAAAUUUGCUUACGACCUCGAUGUUGAAUUAAUAAUCUAUUAAAUGCAAUAAUUUAAUAAAGAAAGUCUGUUCGACUU
RNAcentral lists this ribosomal RNA (388 nucleotides) under Platocoelotes sp. ZZ033. Its description in RNAcentral is "partial 16S ribosomal RNA". Lineage: Eukaryota; Metazoa; Arthropoda; Arachnida; Araneae; Agelenidae. The record is from RNAcentral.